GCAGGUCGAAGUCUGAGGCAGCAACGCCGCGUGCGCGAUGAAGGUCUUCGGAUUGUAAAGCGCUUUUACGUGGGAAGAGGAAGGACGGUACCACGUGAAUAAGGAUCGGCCAACUACGUGCCAGCAGCCGCGGUAACACGUAGGAUUCAAACGUUAUCCGGAUUUAUUGGGCGUAAAGCGCGUGUAGGUGGUUUGGUAAGUUGGAUGUGAAAGCUCCAGGCUCAACCUGGAGAGGUAAUCCAAAACUGCCAGACUAGAGGACGGUAGAGGGAGGUGGAAUUCCGGGAGUAGCGGUGAAAUGCGUAGAUACCCGGAGGAACACCAGUGGCGAAGGCGGCCUCCUGGGCCGUUCCUGACACUCAGACGCGAAAGCUAGGGGAGCGAACGGGAUUAGAAACCCCGGUAGUCCUAGCCGUAAACGAUGUAGACUUGGUGUUGGUGGGGUAAAAGCCAUCAGUGCCGUAGCUAACGCGAUAAGUCUACCGCCUGGGGAUUACGACCGCAAGGUUAAAACUCAAAGGAAUUGACGGGUCCCCGCACAAGCAGCGGAGCGUGUGGUUUAAUUCGAUGCUACGCGAAGAACCUUACCUGGGCUUGACAUAUAGGUGGUAGGAACCGAAAGGUGACCGACUUUUCGGAGAGCCUAUACAGGUGGUGCAUGGCUGUCGUCAGCUCGUGCCGUGAGGUGUCCGGUAAGUCGGUAACGAGCGCAACCCUCGCUGUAUGUUAACGGGCAUAGGGAUGCCGGAUAAAGCGGAGAAGUGGGACACUCAAUCGCAUGUCUUAUGCAGGCUACCAACCUCAUGGUCGGACAUGGUCGAAACCCGAGUGACAAUCCUAAGCGCCUCGUUCGAUGAGCUGAAUCGCUGUGAACUGAGUUGUAUAACCCCCCAACAGCGGAAAUCGUUCCGGGAUUGACACCGCCGCUCGUCUGAAGCGGAACCCCAGCGGAUCCUAUCU
Molecule: ribosomal RNA, 960 nt
Filed under: uncultured bacterium
Lineage: Bacteria
Description: bacterial SSU rRNA
Rfam family: Bacterial small subunit ribosomal RNA
Source: RNAcentral